This 559-nucleotide ribosomal RNA is filed under the name Trichoderma cf. harzianum ROG-2010. RNAcentral describes it as "eukaryotic LSU rRNA". The stretch from base 211 to 364 matches the Rfam family "5.8S ribosomal RNA". Lineage: Eukaryota; Fungi; Ascomycota; Sordariomycetes; Hypocreales; Hypocreaceae. The record is from RNAcentral.
GGAUCAUUACCGAGUUUACAACUCCCAAACCCAAUGUGAACGUUACCAAACUGUUGCCUCGGCGGGAUCUCUGCCCCGGGUGCGUCGCAGCCCCGGACCAAGGCGCCCGCCGGAGGACCAACCAAAACUCUUUUUGUAUACCCCCUCGCGGGUUUUUUUAUAAUCUGAGCCUUCUCGGCGCCUCUCGUAGGCGUUUCGAAAAUGAAUCAAAACUUUCAACAACGGAUCUCUUGGUUCUGGCAUCGAUGAAGAACGCAGCGAAAUGCGAUAAGUAAUGUGAAUUGCAGAAUUCAGUGAAUCAUCGAAUCUUUGAACGCACAUUGCGCCCGCCAGUAUUCUGGCGGGCAUGCCUGUCCGAGCGUCAUUUCAACCCUCGAACCCCUCCGGGGGGUCGGCGUUGGGGAUCGGCCCUCCCUUAGCGGGUGGCCGUCUCCGAAAUACAGUGGCGGUCUCGCCGCAGCCUCUCCUGCGCAGUAGUUUGCACACUCGCAUCGGGAGCGCGGCGCGUCCACAGCCGUUAAACACCCAACUUCUGAAAUGUUGACCUCGGAUCAGGUAG